AACAGAAGGAAGAACUUCAUUUUUGGCUUACAAGACCAAUGCUUUUAGUUAAGCUACUACUGC
RNAcentral lists this transfer RNA (63 nucleotides) under Cymbium olla (pot-bellied volute). RNAcentral describes it as "tRNA-Thr". The record is from RNAcentral. Lineage: Eukaryota; Metazoa; Mollusca; Gastropoda; Neogastropoda; Volutidae.